Molecule: long non-coding RNA, 2166 nt
Organism: Homo sapiens (human)
Lineage: Eukaryota; Metazoa; Chordata; Mammalia; Primates; Hominidae
Product: long intergenic non-protein coding RNA 2405
Source: Ensembl
UUCUUUCUUUCUUUCUUUCUUUUUUUUUUUUUGAGACCGAGCCUCACUCUGUUUUCCAGGUUGGAGUGCAAUGACACAAUCUUGGCUCACUGCAAUCCCAUCUCCACCUCCCAGGUUAAAAAAAUUCUUCUGCCUCAGCUUCCCAAGUAGCUGGGAUUACAGGUGUACACCACCACACCCGGCUAAUUUUUGUAAUUUUAGUAGAGAUGGGGUUUUGCCAUGUUGGCCAGGCUAGUCUCAAACUCCUGGCCUCAAGUGAUCUACCUGUCUUGGCCUCCCAAAGGGCUGGGAUUAUAGGCAUGAGCCACUGUGCGUGGUCCACAUAUUCAGUUUUUACCUACUGUUUCUCUUUCUCACAAACUAAGCCAAACAUUUGGUUCCAACUGAUUUCUUCCUCUUCUUUCUGACAUAGUCAAUGAAUUUCUAAAGUAAAAGAAUGGAAUUUCAGCUACAAAACAACAUAAGAAUGGUUUUCUUUAAAAAGUGCACCUAUCACUGUUUUGGAAUUUUUUCCCUAGUACUGCUUAUUUAUCUGGCCAUCAGAAACAGUGGCAGAUGCCUACAUUUUGAUAAAACAUUUUAGAAAAUAUGCCAGAGACUGAGAGCAGGAGAAACUGCUGAAGGAGAACAUAAUGUUCAUAUUUAUCUAAAUGUGUUUAUUUACAUUAAUGUUUUUAUUGGUAGCAGAAUAUGGUGACAUGCAGACUUUUUCUAAAAUGUAAUAUGUAAUGCUUCGUUCAGGGCGCAAAAUUUUUCUUACAAUUUCUACCUUAUAUAUGAUUGAGUGACACUUUGGAAAGAUCACUGCUGUCCAAAUGUUCUCUCUACAUUUUAAUCCAAUACAAAUAUACUGUAUUACUUUAAAACUUUUUUCCCCAAAAUUGUAUCCAUUAUGAUCAUGGGCAAGGAUGAUGUCUAGGAUAUGAUUCUGAGAUUGUAUAAGUGAUACGAGAUCGAGGAAAACGUUGUUUAAAGAGAGGUAAAUAAACUGAAAGCACAGGCAUGUAAAAGGAUUAUUUGUGUGAAAACUGGAACCACAAAGAAUGAUGAUAAAAGAGUGUUGAGGAGGGGGAGGGGGAGCCAAGAAUUGAAAGCUUUAUGACAUGAGGAAGGAGGACAUUUGUGUCAUCUACCAAUAAGUAGGACAAAGAUAGACAGUAAUGGUGAAAUUUGAGUUUCAAAACACAGUGAUUAGUAACAUUGCAGAAGAAACAAUGAAAAACAAGCAGGAUGCCUACUUUAUGCCUAGAGUCAAGAGUCACCACGAAUUGGUGGAUGAAUACGUUAGUUUCAUUUCUCUAUUGUCAAGGGAAGAUAACUCUCAGGUGUGUAUUCUAUGCUCCUUCCAAAUGUUCCUCACUGAGUUUAAGCUCUGAUUGCCCCACAGUGGUGACCAGCUUGAUAGCACUCCUUUUAAAAGCUUCUUCCCUUUUCUUUCUCACUACUUCACAUUCCUACAGUGUUUUCUGAUAAUACGGACCAAAGAAAUUAUUUGCACUUGAAUUCUCAUCUCAGUGUCAUCCUCUAGCUGAUGACAUCAUGAGAAAACUGCAUCCUCCACUUUGCUGAUUAUGAGGAAAGAACCCACCAAGCUACCCCGAGAACUGAGACUACCAUACACCUAAGAAGUCAAAGUUGCUAUUCAAGGGGAAGUGCAAACACAAGAUGAGGGAAACUGAUGUAUUUAGUGUCUACAUUUUACAAAUGGAUGCUUUUCAUAAUAUGAAAAUACUGCACCAUAAGAUUGCCAGUCACAACAGCACGGCUACAGUGAAAAUGAUCCCAGUGGAUUUGUUACGGUGAGAAAGCUUCACUUGGAGACAAAGCCAAAACCUUCCUCCCAGGCUCCCUUGGAUGUAGGGGGAAGCAAACUGGCUGUCCAGGCCUCUGAGCCACAUCUACACACCUCAUGAGAGGGCCUGUGCAACAUUGCCUUAGAGAUGGAGAGCAUUGCUUCAGAAUCAGGGAAGCCUAAAUUUCACCCCUGGGGCUGCCCCUUGUGAUCUUGAAUGGCUCCUGACAAGAGGCUGCUGGGGAGGCUCCUGCUCCCUGCCUUUCGGGACUGCCGUGGAUUGCCCAUUGAUGGGUCAAAAUCCAGCUACCUGGUAAUUCAAUGAGUCCCUAGUGUGCAUCCAAUAAAUUAUCUUCUGUUUAAAUUAGAACAAA